GCCUCGUUAGCUCAGAUGGUUAGAGCAGCCGACUCUUAAUCGGCGGGUCACUGGUUCGAGUCCAGUACGGGGUAC
Molecule: transfer RNA, 75 nt
Filed under: Mycobacterium phage Zaria
Lineage: Duplodnaviria; Heunggongvirae; Uroviricota; Caudoviricetes; Vilmaviridae
Also listed under: 1 other name
Description: tRNA-Lys
Rfam family: tRNA
About the family: Transfer RNA (tRNA) molecules are approximately 80 nucleotides in length. Their secondary structure includes four short double-helical elements and three loops (D, anti-codon, and T loops).
Source: RNAcentral